UGAGAUUCUAAGUGAUUAAAAAAAAUAGCUUUGGAAUUUGUACUAAGCCAACUGUGCACAUGGUACAGAAUGUUCUCAGAAGCAAUAGGACUCAUGAAUAAUAAGGCAGGCCAUUUCCUGGACUUUACAGUCUCCUUCGCCUGGCAUUCUCUCUUGCCCACAAACCUUUUGCCUGCUGACCUGAAUCUGGAUUCUCUCCUCUCCCAGGCAGCUAAUGCUGGAUUGCUCCAGAUGGCCAAGCUGAAUCAACACUACCCAGCAGGAAGGUUGGGUUCGUUUCACAGCAGCAACAGGGACAAGAAAAACCUGUCCUGGCAUCCUGAGUAG
RNAcentral lists this long non-coding RNA (327 nucleotides) under Chinchilla lanigera (long-tailed chinchilla). Its description in RNAcentral is "lncRNA (ENSCLAG00000027124.1)". Lineage: Eukaryota; Metazoa; Chordata; Mammalia; Rodentia; Chinchillidae. The record is from RNAcentral.